UGUGUUUAUCUGCUGAAGAGACACUGAUGAAGAAAUGCUGCCAUCGAAGGAUUUGUAUCUUUUGUGGUGGAGCAGGACCUGCAAGGAAAGGUGAAAAAAAGGAAAAACCUGAAACAAAAGAAUAAAUUAAUGACUUUUUGUAUUGUGUGUGUGUAUUUUUGUAGGAUGAGGAACAUGUCUGCAGACUGGUGUGUGUACAGUAAGGAUGGAGAUGUUCACAGCAGCAUCCUGGAAAUGGUCCAGUGACACAGAUGAGAUGCUUCAUCUCUCCACCUGCCCUUACUGUCUCAUCAGGACCAGAUGUUGCUGUGGUCUCUUCAUCAUCAGUGACCCCAGAGCAGCGAGAGGAUCUAGAGAAAGACCAAAAGACACUGAGGAUGUGAUUUUGGUAUUGGUGCUCAUGGAGAGCAGGCACACGAUUGUUUGGAGCAGACAC
Cyprinus carpio (common carp) is the source of this 436-nucleotide long non-coding RNA. RefSeq lists it as uncharacterized. Lineage: Eukaryota; Metazoa; Chordata; Actinopteri; Cypriniformes; Cyprinidae. The record is from RefSeq and is a predicted model, not a curated record.